UUCUAAUCGAGUUUUGCUAUGCUGACUCUCUUAUUUCUUUCUACCCUGCAGUUUGCGUGUUGUUUUACAACACUGCAAAAUUUGCCUGAAGAGUAAAUAUUUGUGAGUUUUCAGAAUCUUGUCAUGUCCCACAAAGGAAAAUAAUUUUCCUGUGCUACUUCUACUAUUACCUUGAUUUCACCGUGGGAAGGUACAGAUCUAAUCCUUUGGAAGGGGGGAACUAUGAGGUGAAGAAGCAGCCAGAGGAGUAAAACAGGGUUGGCAGCGAUGAUAUAGGAAGAACUUCUCUAAAGACUAUGAAAAAGGACUUCAGAGCCUUGGGAUGACAGGCGCAGGAGCUGACCAUCUCCAAGUCACAGAAGACGAGCUGAUGCGCAAGGAGGCUGG
Molecule: long non-coding RNA, 387 nt
Organism: Gallus gallus (chicken)
Lineage: Eukaryota; Metazoa; Chordata; Aves; Galliformes; Phasianidae
Source: Ensembl